UACGGGGGGGGCAAGCGUUGUUCGGAAUUACUGGGCGUAAAGGGCUCGUAGGUGGCCAACUAAGUCAGACGUGAAAUCCCCAGGCUCAACUUGGGAACUGCGUCUGAUACUGGAUGGCUUGAAUUCGGGAGAGGGAUGCAGAAUUCCAGGUGUAGCGGUGAAAUGCGCAGAUAUCCGAAGGAACACCGGUGGCGAAGGCGGCUUCCUGGACCGACACUGACGCUGAGGCGCGAAAGCUAGGGGAGCAAACGGG
RNAcentral lists this ribosomal RNA (253 nucleotides) under uncultured bacterium. Its description in RNAcentral is "partial 16S ribosomal RNA". It matches the Rfam family "Bacterial small subunit ribosomal RNA", at positions 524 to 776 of the family's 1533-position model. The record is from RNAcentral.